This 158-nucleotide ribosomal RNA is filed under the name Taifanglania sp. F007H. Its description in RNAcentral is "5.8S ribosomal RNA". It matches the Rfam family "5.8S ribosomal RNA". Rfam says of the family: 5.8S ribosomal RNA (5.8S rRNA) is a component of the large subunit of the eukaryotic ribosome. It is transcribed by RNA polymerase I as part of the 45S precursor that also contains 18S and 28S rRNA. Lineage: Eukaryota; Fungi; Ascomycota; Sordariomycetes; Sordariales; Chaetomiaceae. The record is from RNAcentral.
AAACUUUCAACAACGGAUCUCUUGGUUCUGGCAUCGAUGAAAAACGCAGCGAAAUGCGAUAAGUAAUGUGAAUUGCAGAAUUCAGUGAAUCAUCGAAUCUUUGAACGCACAUUGCGCCCGCCAGUAUUCUGGCGGGCAUGCCUGUUCGAGCGUCAUUU